RNAcentral lists this ribosomal RNA (460 nucleotides) under uncultured bacterium. RNAcentral describes it as "partial 16S ribosomal RNA". It matches the Rfam family "Bacterial small subunit ribosomal RNA", at positions 338 to 795 of the family's 1533-position model. The record is from RNAcentral.
CCUACGGGAGGCAGCAGUGAGGAAUAUUGGUCAAUGGGCGCGAGCCUGAACCAGCCAAGUCGCGUGAAGGAUGACGGCCCUACGAGUUGUAAACUUCUUUUAUAAAGGAGUAAAGUGAGGCACGUGUGCCUUUUUGUAUGUACUUUAUGAAUAAGGAUCGGCUAACUCCGUGCCAGCAGCCGCGGGAAUACGGAGGAUACGAGCGUUAUCCGGAUUUAUUGGGUUUAAAGGGAGCGUAGAUGGGUUGUUAAGUUAGUUGUGAAAGUUUGCGGCUCAACCGUGAAAUUGCAAUUGAUACUGGCAGCCUUGAGUACAGUUGAGGUAGGCGGAAUUCGUGGUGUAGCGGUGAAAUGCAUAGAGAUCACGAAGAACUCCGAUUGCGAAGGCAGCUUACUAAACUGCCACUGACGUUGAUGCUCGAAAGUGUGGGUAUCAAACAGGAUUAGAUACCCCGGUAGUC